GUAGGGUGCGAGCGUUAAUCGGAAUUACUGGGCGUAAAGCGUGCGCAGGCGGUCUUGUAAGACAGGUGUGAAAUCCCCGGGCUUAACCUGGGAACUGCACUUGUGACUGCAAGGCUGGAGUACGGCAGAGGGGGAUGGAAUUCCGCGUGUAGCAGUGAAAUGCGUAGAUAUGCGGAGGAACACCGAUGGCGAAGGCAAUCCCCUGGGCCUGUACUGACGCUCAUGCACGAAAGCGUGGGGAGCAAAC
Molecule: ribosomal RNA, 247 nt
Filed under: uncultured Comamonadaceae bacterium
Lineage: Bacteria; Pseudomonadati; Pseudomonadota; Betaproteobacteria; Burkholderiales; Comamonadaceae
Description: partial 16S ribosomal RNA
Rfam family: Bacterial small subunit ribosomal RNA
Source: RNAcentral